This 334-nucleotide unclassified non-coding RNA is filed under the name soil metagenome. RNAcentral's name for it is "partial contains 5.8S ribosomal RNA, internal transcribed spacer 2, and large subunit ribosomal RNA". The stretch from base 1 to 120 matches the Rfam family "5.8S ribosomal RNA", at positions 35 to 154 of the family's 154-position model. The record is from RNAcentral.
GAUGAAGAACGUAGCGAAAUGCGAUAAGUAGUGUGAAUUGCAGAAUUCAGUGAAUCAUCGAAUCUUUGAACGCACAUUGCGCCCGCCAGUAUUCUGGCGGGCAUGCCUGUCCGAGCGUCAUUUCAACCAUCAAGCCCCGGGCUUGUGUUGGGGACCUGCGUCCGACGCAGGCCCCGAAAACCAGUGGCGGGCUCGCUGUCCACACCGAGCGUAGUAGCUAACCUCGCUCCGGAGUGGCGCGGGCGCCUGCCGUAAAACCCCCCCAAUUUUACAAGGUUGACCUCGGAUCAGGUAGGAAUACCCGCUGAACUUAAGCAUAUCAAUAAGCGGAGGA